Small nuclear RNA from Sabethes cyaneus, 110 nucleotides. The record is from RefSeq and is a predicted model, not a curated record. Lineage: Eukaryota; Metazoa; Arthropoda; Insecta; Diptera; Culicidae.
AUUUAUUUUUGUACUGUCAAUGGGCAUCAUCGUUGGAACGAUAUAGAGAAGAUUAGCAUGGGCCCUGCGCAAAGAUGACACAACAACCUUACAAUAAACAAUAAAAAACG